RNAcentral lists this transfer RNA (68 nucleotides) under human gut metagenome. It matches the Rfam family "tRNA", at positions 5 to 66 of the family's 71-position model. Rfam says of the family: Transfer RNA (tRNA) molecules are approximately 80 nucleotides in length. Their secondary structure includes four short double-helical elements and three loops (D, anti-codon, and T loops). Further hydrogen bonds mediate the characteristic L-shaped molecular structure. tRNAs have two regions of fundamental functional importance: the anti-codon, which is responsible for specific mRNA codon recognition, and the 3' end, to which the tRNAs corresponding amino acid is attached (by aminoacyl-tRNA synthetases). tRNAs cope with the degeneracy of the genetic code in two manners: having more than one tRNA (with a specific anti-codon) for a particular amino acid; and 'wobble' base-pairing, i.e. permitting non-standard base-pairing at the 3rd anti-codon position. The record is from RNAcentral. RNAcentral also lists the same sequence under 2 other names.
GUGUGUAGCUCAGUUGGAUAGAGUGUUUGGCUACGAACCAAAAGGUCGGGGGUUCGAAUCCCUCCACG